This 508-nucleotide ribosomal RNA is filed under the name uncultured bacterium. Its description in RNAcentral is "bacterial SSU rRNA". It matches the Rfam family "Bacterial small subunit ribosomal RNA", at positions 15 to 507 of the family's 1533-position model. The record is from RNAcentral.
GAUCCUGGCUCAGGAUGAACGCUAGCUACAGGGCUUAACACAUGCAAGUCGAGGGGAAACGAUAUUGGAAGCUUGCUUCCGAUAGGCGUCGACCGGCGCACGGGUGAGUAACGCGUAUCCAACCUGCCCAUCACUUGGGAAUAACCUUGCGAAAGUAAGACUAAUGCCCAAUGACAUUUAUAGAAGGCAUCUGAAAUGAAUUAAAGAUUUAUCGGUGAUGGAUGGGGAUGCGUCUGAUUAGCUUGUUGGCGGGGUAACGGCCCACCAAGGCGACGAUCAGUAGGGGUUCUGAGAGGAAGGUCCCCCACAUUGGAACUGAGACACGGUCCAAACUCCUACGGGAGGCAGCAGUGAGGAAUAUUGGUCAAUGGGCGAGAGCCUGAACCAGCCAAGUAGCGUGCAGGAAGACGGCCCUAUGGGUUGUAAACUGCCUUUUAUAGGGGAAUAAAGUGAGCCACGUGUGGUUUUUUGCAUGUUACCCUAUGAAUAAGGACCGGCUAAUUCCGUG